CAAUAGCGUAUAUUAAAGUUGUUGCGGUUAAAAAGCUCGUAGUUGGAUUUCUGGCUUGAGACGCCCGGCCCGCCAAGGUUACUUGUGUGAGUGCUGGUGUGUCUCUGCCAUCCUUCUGGAAAACGUUCCUACCUUUCAUUAGGCCGGGUUCGUGAUUCAGAUCAUUUACUUUGAAAAAUUAGAGUGUUUAAAGCAAGCUUGCGCUAUGAAUACAUUAGCAUGGAAUAAUAAUUUAGGACUUUGGUCACUAUUUUGUUGGUUUCUAGGACUGAAGUAAUGAUUGAUAGGGAUAGUUGGGGGUGCUAGUAUUUACGGGCCAGAGGUGAAAUUCUUGGAUUCCGUAAAGACUAACUAAUGCGAAAGCAUUCACCAAGGAUGUCUUCUUUAAUCAAGAACGAAAGUUGGGGGAUCGAAGACGAUUAGAUACCGU
RNAcentral lists this ribosomal RNA (430 nucleotides) under uncultured eukaryote. Its description in RNAcentral is "SSU rRNA". It matches the Rfam family "Eukaryotic small subunit ribosomal RNA", at positions 592 to 1018 of the family's 1831-position model. The record is from RNAcentral.